RNAcentral lists this ribosomal RNA (399 nucleotides) under Carnobacterium sp. AZTITEMP73. RNAcentral describes it as "bacterial SSU rRNA". It matches the Rfam family "Bacterial small subunit ribosomal RNA", at positions 934 to 1335 of the family's 1533-position model. The record is from RNAcentral. Lineage: Bacteria; Bacillati; Bacillota; Bacilli; Lactobacillales; Carnobacteriaceae.
GGAGCNUGUGGUUUAAUUCGAAGCAACGCGAAGAACCUUACCAGGUCUUGACAUCCUUUGACCACUCUAGAGAUAGAGCUUUCCCUUCGGGGACAAAGUGACAGGUGGUGCAUGGUUGUCGUCAGCUCGUGUCGUGAGAUGUUGGGUUAAGUCCCGCAACGAGCGCAACCCUUAUUACUAGUUGCCAGCAUUUAGUUGGGCACUCUAGUGAGACUGCCGGUGACAAACCGGAGGAAGGUGGGGAUGACGUCAAAUCAUCAUGCCCCUUAUGACCUGGGCUACACACGUGCUACAAUGGAUGGUACAACGAGUCGCAAGGUCGCGAGGCCAAGCUAAUCUCUUAAAGCCAUUCUCAGUUCGGAUUGUAGGCUGCAACUCGCCUACAGAAGCCGGAANCGC